Long non-coding RNA from Oxyura jamaicensis (ruddy duck), 2584 nucleotides. RefSeq lists it as uncharacterized. The record is from RefSeq and is a predicted model, not a curated record. The transcript has 2 exons. NCBI's taxonomy places the organism in Eukaryota, Metazoa, Chordata, Aves, Anseriformes, Anatidae.
UCAGAGGAUUUUUGCUUCACAUGAUAGUGCUCACUGCUUCCUUCUUGUUUCAUCCUGGGAAAUGGCAUUUCUCUCAGGCUUCCUUCCUUUGCUAUGAUUAGCACCAAAACCAUCUUUGUAGAGAAGAGAGGGUGAAGAAAAGUGUUUUCUCUUGUUGUUGGUUGUUUCCCUAUCUGGCUUCUUCUGUAAUCAGGACAGCAGCAUUGCUGCUUCCACUGCUUCAAUAAGGACCAAGUGCACUUCUUCUCCCAUGCAUGGGUGAUGGUCAAUCUUACUCUUGCCUUCCUUUCCCUUGGCUUUGCAUGGAUGACUGUGGGUGCUGCCGAAGCAGCUGAUUUUCCCAAACUUUUGGGCUGGGACUGUUGCUGGGUGUGGGGUUUCUGUUGUCUGUGGACUUCAAAUUAUUUUGAUCAUACAUCCUUAUCAGUGAAAAAGUUUUGAGUGCACACCCAAUACAUAGGUGUUUAUUUAUUUAUAAAUUUAUAAAUUUAUUGCAUACAUGCACUUCUGAAGUUCCAGUAUUUCUUCCUGCACCCCAGUGCAUUGUCUCUUGUACCACACUUAGGAGAUCACCACUCUAGGUGGUCACAAUACAAGGGGAGCCUGGAGGCUGGUGGCAUGAUCUUGGCCAGAUCUGCUCUUUUCCAGGGCACAAGAAGACCUUCCUCAUUUACUCAGUUUUUAUGGGAAGCCUGGAAUCUCCUUGGUUCCUGCAAGACCUGCUUACUCAGCAGGCUUUGCUUCAGUUCUGCUUCUGAGAUGAGGAGAAAUUUCUCACUGUCCUGGGAAAAGGGAUGCAUCUCUAGCACAUGCAGUGUUUCUCUGAGGUUGUGUGCUCAGGUGUUCAAGUCCCAGUCCUGCACAUGCUGAUGCCUUUUUGGCUUAACCUGAACAUUUGACUAAGACCAUGCAAGGUGCUCUGUUGUUCGUGAUUAAGAGACCAUUCAGGCAUAAGGGCUUAGAUACUUGUACUCACGAGCAUCUGCAGGGAAACACAAGCCAGCUCUUUUGUUUUAAAAAAUGUUGGGAAACAUUUUUUUUUAUUUUUUUAUUUUUUGGAUGGAAAUUUUCAUGAAACUUCACCUCCUAAAAAACAAUAAAAACAUCUCAUGCAGCCUCCAUCAGGAUAUGACUCCUGUUUUUUGGUGGGUUGGUAGGCAGGGGAUGAGGGGAUGUGGGCUGGGGAGGGACAUCUGAGAACUGAUGCAUUUUCUGGAAAGGACAAUUGUAGGCACUUUUCCUCCUCUCAACAUGGCCAACGUAGAAAGUAAUGAAGGACUAAAGGACAUCACAAUGUCGUGGACAUUUGUGUCACUAACUACUUUUGUCAGGCAUAUGUACAACUGCAUUCUUUUUAUAGUGCUGCAUAUGGCACUAUCAUAAUUGAAUUUUUCAUAAUGAUUGAUCUGACCUGUAUCAUUCCGUUCACUUUAGCAGAGCUAAUUCAAACAGAUUAAGAUUAGGACUAAAAAUAUGGUCCAGUCAGCCGAAGAACCAUAAAGAGCCUGACUUCAUAGUAAUUAUGAUGCACAAUCUGUUUCAGCCACUUAGGUUGGUACUAUUUAUAUGUAGUACAUGGUCAAGGCAGUAUCUGUUUUGAUUCUGUUUGUCUUCCAGAAGCUGUGAUAUGUGGGCAUCAAGUGGUGGUGUGUCUAUGCUGAAGAUCACUCUGGUUCCCAUGGUUUGAGGCCUUUCUGCCUUCUGCUGCCUUUGGCCAAGUGAGCAUAGCCGUUCAUUCCCUCCAGCAAGGCCAGCAGGUCUAAGACUGUGUGGCUCACGUCUCUGUCCAUGCUGCAGUAACACUAUGGAAACCACAGAUGCAAGGGAUUAGAUUGGCAAUGCCCCAGCCCUGGGCAGGAAGAAGAAAUCAAAGAGACGUUCCCUUGUGAAGACGGAUGUAAUGAGCAAGGCAUUGUGCAUGAGUGAUUUCUCUUUUACAUCCUGAUUCAAGCUAAACAUUUAAAGAUGAAGUCCAGAGUUCAAAGACUGAAGGAUGGAAAAAUUAAUUGUGUGGAAGUUUAAGUAAGCAUUGUGUUUCAGAAAACUUGUGUUAUUAGGUUUCUCAGUAAAGAAAAAAAGAAAAAAAAAAAAAAGAAAAAGAAAAAAAAAAAAGGAUAUCUCACAUCCAGUCAUUUAUGAACUGAAUCAGUACGAAUCAGUAAGCAAUACUGACAAGACAAAAGCCACUUGCACCAAGAUGCUGAAUAAGCAAAGAAACACAUGCAAUUUUGCAGUGUGUUCACAGCAUAUUUUGCCAGCUGAAAAGGGUCUCAGUCUUCUGGGUGAUUCACUUGUUGCAAUUUGGCUUCACUUCAGGGGUGAGGGUUUCAGAAUUACUCACAGCCAUGCUAACAAAUCAGAAGUCAUAUAACGCUAUUGAAAUAUGUUGCAGCUUUGUCCUCUUUGAACCCACAGACGUUCCGAGUAGAUGACUAAAAAAUGAGACCUUGCCACUAUUUUUUUUUCCCAGCUUGAUUCAAGUUUCAUUCCAGUUUUGCACUAGUCCUUACUUUAAACUUAUUUGUUUGCUCAUGCCUGAUAUGAACGAUGACUCAAUAAAACAAUCUCAGUGCUUCACUGUGAA